UCCGGGGAAAUUUGGCCUCUGAGGAGGCUAAGGGGCGCCACGGAGGGUCGUCCGCCAGCUGAUGCGGCAGCCUUCUCCAGUCUCAGGCUUCGCGGAAGUGAAAACAAGCCAAGAACAAAACCCGUACAAAUCCCCAAGUCCAAACAGCUCCAGUCACAUUCAAGAAAAGCAAAGGUAAUUUAUUACAGAGAUCCAGCUGGGCUUUGGAGUGAAAUCUGGUGGCUCUGCAGAGGGUGACAAAGGCAGAAAUGGAGCUGUCUUUAAACAAAACAGAAGGAAGGGCAGAGAGACCUCUAUAUGCCUGCCCUCCCUGCCACACACUGGGAGCAUCGCUCAGGGUCUGGGAGUCAACUCAGCAGCCUCUGCUGACGUGUCCCCACCACCAGCUCAUGGGGAAGCUGGCCUCCCACACAGCAGCUUAGUCCCAGAUCAGCGGUUCCCAGUGAGCGGUAAAAAAACAAAAAACAGCAAGAAAUGGCUUUCCAAGUCCUCUUUCAUGGAGACGAACAGAAAUGGCAAAGACUAUUUUCAUCAUUACUGCUGUAAAACGUUCUGAUGUUCUAGGGAGAUAAAAGCCCCAAUCAAAAAGUACAGUAUCUGCUAUUGAAAAAUUGCAUCUCAGAAGCGGCGCCUCUUUCUGACAGCAUCUGCCAAGACUUCCGAUGAGGCUGAUGGAAACCUGUUCCAUUUUCAUGUUGUAUAAUAAGUAGAUGGAAGCCUUGCACAUCUGUUCAGGCAAGAUAAUGAUGAUAUUAUUACUAGAAGCCUUGUGCAGCAAAGAGAAUCUAUUUUUUUCUCUUUCCUACCCCCAGCCUGAAUCCAGCCUCUCUUUCUCUUACUUCUCGUGUUUACUUUCUAGCUCACACUCUUCCUCUUCUCUCUUCAUUUCUUUCCUCACCUCAGUGCCCCACCCAGCUUACUGAAACCAAGGUGAUAAAGCCAAGAAUUCUUCUCCUCUCAGAAGGAGGAGCUGCUGAGGAGGUACUGGGGCCAGGGGCUGGCCGAGCUCAGGGGGACAGGGGUCUCUGGGUCUCUCCUCAGAGCCCUGAUGCCUCCUACGGCGAACGACCCUCUUCAGCCCAGUCAGAGGAGCCUCUGGGCUUACCCCGUGCCCAGCCUCAUCAGCAAAGAAUCAAGGGAGACAGCAAUGGGACCAGAUAAUUCCUGCCAAAGAGACAACAGAUAGAAAGGGCUUAAUGUAUUUCACGUCCAGGGAUAGUUUACAUCAUAACUGGACAUUCUCUGGAUACAUAAUUGAUUCAUGAAGAAUUGACAUUUUUGAGUUGGAAUAUCAUUGCAAAGAAUCAAAGUGUUGGGAUGCAUAUCAGAGUUGGGGGGGAGGCUUCCUUGUUCUUCACAAAUCAUUCGUUCAUUCAUUUUUUUUUUUUUUUGUCUUUUGUUGUUGUUGUUAUUGUUGUUGU
Non-coding RNA from Sus scrofa (pig), 1421 nucleotides. Lineage: Eukaryota; Metazoa; Chordata; Mammalia; Artiodactyla; Suidae. The record is from RefSeq and is a predicted model, not a curated record.